This 468-nucleotide ribosomal RNA is filed under the name uncultured bacterium. RNAcentral describes it as "partial 16S ribosomal RNA". It matches the Rfam family "Bacterial small subunit ribosomal RNA", at positions 28 to 507 of the family's 1533-position model. The record is from RNAcentral.
GACGAACGCUGGCGGCGUGCUUAACACAUGCAAGUCGAACGGAAAGGCCCUGCUUUUGUGGGGUGCUCGAGUGGCGAACGGGUGAGUAACACGUGAGUAACCUGCCCUUGACUUUGGGGUAACUUCAGGAAACUGGGGCUAAUACCGGAUAGGAGCUCCUGCUGCAUGGUGGGGGUUGGAAAGUUUCGGCGGUUGGGGAUGGACUCGCGGCUUAUCAGCUUGUUGGUGGGGUAGUGGCUUACCAAGGCUUUGACGGGUAGCCGGCCUGAGAGGGUGACCGGCCACAUUGGGACUGAGAUACGGCCCAGACUCCUACGGGAGGCAGCAGUGGGGAAUAUUGCACAAUGGGCGGAAGCCUGAUGCAGCAACGCCGCGUGCGGGAUGACGGCCCUCGGGUUGUAAACCGCUUUCGCCUGUGACGAAGCGUGAGUGACGGUAAUGGGUAAAGAAGCACCGGCCAACUACGUG